Molecule: long non-coding RNA, 545 nt
Filed under: Camarhynchus parvulus
Lineage: Eukaryota; Metazoa; Chordata; Aves; Passeriformes; Thraupidae
Description: lncRNA (ENSCPVG00000007214.2)
Source: RNAcentral
AAUGGGGGCUGGAGGGGAGCGCGGAUGCGGCUCCCGGGGUUUUUUUUUUUUUUUUUAUGAAUGAAGGGCAGCGGCAGCUGCGCAUGCACCGCGCCCCCCGCCCGGGGCUGGAGGAAAUGCACCUUGCUCUUCUCUUCCUGUCUUCUACUGUGGGACCGUCAUUUUAUCCACGUGUGGGAAUUUCCAUUACUGCUGGGGGAAAGGGACUUCUCCUCCUGAGUGAAGACUGGGAUCUGACUUGAAGCAAGACAAGAGAAGCAAAGCCUCUGUGUGAACAUCACAGCACUUUGGUUUUCAGAUUUGUCACCUUGUGCAGGUUCUGCUGAGACUCUGGUCCCCUGACAGCAGCAGGACGUUGAAGGAUUUGAGCUGAGAUCUCUGAGCAGCCACAGCCCCCUGCUCUGACCCCUCCUUUCCAGCCCAGACACAGCUCCCUCAGCCCCACAUUUCCUCCAGGUAAGACUUGAUUUCCUAAAGAUCUCGUUUCUGACCACUCCAUCUUUCCUUCACGUGGUUUUGUCCCAGCAAGAGGCUGCAGGGCUGGC